This 409-nucleotide long non-coding RNA is filed under the name Oreochromis niloticus (Nile tilapia). RNAcentral describes it as "lncRNA (ENSONIG00000028105.1)". Lineage: Eukaryota; Metazoa; Chordata; Actinopteri; Cichliformes; Cichlidae. The record is from RNAcentral.
GCUGAAUCACUUCCUGAGACGCAGUGGUUGUCAUCUGCAGAAAGGGUUGCGUGAUUCGCUUUAAUGCUUCACGUUUCUUAAAAUGGUUGAAUCCCUUUUUCUAAGAAGGUGCUUUGUGCAUGUUUAUGUUGUAAUCGACGUCAGUUACUCGUCUGAUUAACACGACGUUUAAUCAAACAACAGGAUAGGCCUUUUCGAGCCCUCACACCUGUGAGUCAUCUGAUUUUGUUCAGUGAUUUUUAAACAAGCUGAAUGAAGUGACCCGAACUGGAAGUGUGGAGCCAGUUCAGCCUUGGUGACUCAUGAGAGCUGGCCUACAUUUCAGCAGAUAUUCCAGUCGCAGGGCAUCAUGAAGGAAAACCAGGGUCAACAUGAGGUGCUCCAGUGUAAUCCUCACCUGGUUACAGUC